RNAcentral lists this ribosomal RNA (445 nucleotides) under uncultured bacterium. Its description in RNAcentral is "bacterial SSU rRNA". It matches the Rfam family "Bacterial small subunit ribosomal RNA", at positions 330 to 792 of the family's 1533-position model. The record is from RNAcentral.
UCCAGACUCCUACGGGAGGCAGCAGUGGGGAAUACUGCACAAUGGGGGAAACCCUGAUGCAGCGACGCCGCGUGAGUGAAGAAGUAAUUCGUUAUGUAAAGCUCUAUCAGCAGGGAAGAAAAUGACGGUACCUGAGUAAGAAGCCCCGGCUAACUACGUGCCAGCAGCCGCGGUAAUACGUAGGGAGCAAGCGUUGUCCGGAAUUACUGGGCGUAAAGGGCGCGUAGGUGGGCGCUUAAGUCAGGUGUGAAAACCACGGGCUCAACCUGUGGCCUGCAUUUGAAACUGUGUUUCUUGAGUACUGGAGAGGCAGACGGAAUUCCUAGUGUAGCGGUGAAAUGCGUAGAUAUUAGGAGGAACACCAGUGGCGAAGGCGGUCUGCUGGACAGCAACUGACGCUGAGGCGCGAAAGCGUGGGGAGCAAACAGGAUUAGAUACCCCAGUA